Non-coding RNA from Mobiluncus curtisii ATCC 43063, 58 nucleotides. Lineage: Bacteria; Bacillati; Actinomycetota; Actinomycetes; Actinomycetales; Actinomycetaceae. The record is from Rfam.
CAUAUCCAGCCUUUACAACGGAUCGUCCGGCGCGUACCCGCCGGUGAAGGGAUUAAAU